This 600-nucleotide ribosomal RNA is filed under the name uncultured bacterium. Its description in RNAcentral is "bacterial SSU rRNA". It matches the Rfam family "Bacterial small subunit ribosomal RNA", at positions 96 to 687 of the family's 1533-position model. The record is from RNAcentral.
CGGCGUACGGGUGACGGAAACACGUGUUGCACCUGAGCUUUAUCUGGGGGAUAGCCUUUCGAAAGGAGAUUAAUACCCCAUAAUAUGUUGAAUGGCAUCAUUCGACAUUGAAAACUCCGGUGGAUAGAGAUGGGCACGCGCAAGAUUAAAUAGUUGGUGAGGUAACGGGCUCACCAAGUCUACGAUCUUUAGGGGGCCUGAGAAGGGUGAUCCCCCACACUGGUACUGAAACACGGACCAAACUCCUACGGGAAGGCACAUGAGGAAUAUUGGACAAUGGGUGAGAGCCUGAUCCAGCCAUCCCGCGUGAAAGGACGACUGCCCUAUGGGUUGUAAACUUCUUUUGUAUAGGGAUAAAACCUACCCUCGUGAAGGGUAGCUGAAGGUACUAUACGAAUAAAGCACCGGCUAACUCCGUGCCAGCAGCCGCGGUAAUACGGAGGGUGCAAGCGUUAUCCGGAUUUAUUGGGUUUAAAGGGGUCCGUAGCGGAUCUGUAAGUCAGUGGUGAAAUCUCACAGCUUAACUGUGAAACUGCCAUUGAUACUGCAGGUCUUGAAGUGUUGUUGAAGUAGCUGGGAUAAGUAGUGUAGCGGUGAAAU